CACUGAAAUAAAUUCACAUCACAGAAAAGGUUCUGUAUUUGUUUGAUCAUAUUGCAUGCAUAUAAUGCUUAUUUAGUAAUAACUGCUGUGUAUUAGAUAAAGAUAAAAAUAUAUGUAAGGAUUAUUUCUAAGGAAAGGCUAAUUUCCAAAACCUUGUAUUAUAAUCGCAACAAUAACAGGAACACCCUGUUUCACCUCUGAAUCAUAGAUCACCCAGCUUUGCAAAAGUCUGAUUUGUAGCAUUUUUCUUAGUGUACUUUGAAAUUAACUAUCCAGAAAGCUCAAGGAGAAAGAAAUAUUUUGAGAUGGGCUUCAGUCAUGAGUUGUUAAUGUGGCAGUAAUUAGUGUCUACUUAAAUUUAAUUGUUAGAGAUGUAUUUGAAGUACACUAAAGAUGAUCAUGGUUCUGAAUAUCUUCAGAAAAUCUUCAAAG
This 432-nucleotide long non-coding RNA is filed under the name Bos taurus (domestic cattle). RNAcentral describes it as "long non-coding RNA NONBTAT000745". The record is from RNAcentral. Lineage: Eukaryota; Metazoa; Chordata; Mammalia; Artiodactyla; Bovidae.